RNAcentral lists this ribosomal RNA (250 nucleotides) under uncultured bacterium. RNAcentral describes it as "partial 16S ribosomal RNA". It matches the Rfam family "Bacterial small subunit ribosomal RNA", at positions 524 to 773 of the family's 1533-position model. The record is from RNAcentral.
UACGGAGGGUGCAAGCGUUGUUCGGAUUUACUGGGCGUAAAGGGCGCGUAGGCGGUUGCGAAAGCUAAAGGUGAAAUCCCAGAGCUCAACUCUGGAACUGCUUUUAGAACUGCGUAACUAGAAUCAGAUAGAGGCAAGUGGAAUUCCUGGUGUAGAGGUGAAAUUCGUAGAUAUCAGGAGGAACACCGGCGGCGAAGGCGGCUUGCUGGAUCUGAAUUGACGCUGAGGCGCGAAAGCGUGGGGAGCAAAC